GGAGAUUCCAUAUGCAGAUAGGGAGGAGGAGCCUGUGGGACCGUGGUGAUUAGGCAGUGGGGAUUCCAUAUACAGAUAGGGAGGAGGAGCCUGUGGUGGUUAAGUGGAUCUCACUCAUUUUCCAGUUCCUCCAAAUGUCCAAACCGCUACUUUAAGUGCUUGUAACCUCAACAAUGCACUGCAGAGGACUCAGGCCAGAAAUUGAAUGAAAUCUUGCGAGAGUUCACGAGCAGCUGCCGCAUAGGGACGGGCUGGAGGGAAGAAAAUGGUAGUGGCAGCAGACUGGCCGGAGCCCGGUGGUGAAAAAAGAUGGCGGCAGCUGGUGGUGGCGACCAGGCACUGAAAACAGCAUGCGCUGGUGGAAGAAGGUGGCAGAGGCCGGGCAGGAAGAAAACAAUGGCAGGGGCCGGGGGAGGGGGAGAGCAGUGGCGAACUAGAGGCGCAGAUGCUCUGUGCCCGGCCCAGCUAGUGUGUGUGUGUUGCUAUAAGAACUGUUAAAUGCUGCCAGUGCUAGAAAGUCCUACUGGUGUGUGUGUCCACUGUUUGUGUUUUUGAUGCACAACAAGGAAGAGUAUUGAACGUAGGUCAUUUUUCAUCCUUGUCCCUGAAUCUUAUCACAGUGGUGUCCCUGUGAUUUCCCUUUCAGGCCCUGGCCUCCAAAAUGAAGAGCAGUGGCCCUGAGAAUGUGGAACAGGGAGAACACCAAGGUCUUGACAUGUGGAAUGUAAUAAGGAUCAGAGUGUAACAUCUAAGGGAAAUGCAUUUUUGCAAAACUUCAUGGAGAUUCCAGGAAUCUGACAUGUUUUCUAUUUAUCCCUGGUAGUGCAUCUGAAGAACAUGCACUGGGUAGGUUGACAUGUCAUGGUAAACCUAUGGUUUGGUUGAGCCACUGGAGACCUGAGCGCAUGUGCAAGCCCUACUUCUGAAGUCAAGACUGGGCAUGACACGCAAACCCACCCCGCAUAUUCUACCAUCCUUGCAGUAUGAAACCCAACACCAGUCCCUCAUUUCAAAUCUAAGGGACAGAUGUGUAAGGUUACACACCUCAAGUAGGGUAGAAUACUCUGAGAUUGGUGGGUUCGCAAUCACGCACAGUCUCAGCAUAUCUUUCCCGACACACGCUCAGUGGAACCACCAGUUCAAUGUGACUUCUGAACUGGUCCACUGUGUUUGUCUUCUCCCAAACUCCCCAUCAGUUCUUAGGGCUCCCUGGGAAGCAGGAAUGAUUCCCAAGCCAAUUUAAAGCCUGUAGUGUAGAUACCCCUCUAGUUUUUGCUUUUACUGACACUCCUCCUCAUUCCUUUGUAGCCUGAGUGAGAUUUGGUUGGUUUUGUUCUUUAUCCUUUGAUCAUGCUGGUAAUAUUGCCUGAUAGGAAGGGAAAGCCUGGAUUAUGGAAGAGCCAAGUACAGACCCACAAAACAGGAAAUAAACAUUUGCUAGAACCGUUUUUAGUUGACCUGGCCACUGUAUUUAGGUGGGGGAGGGAACAGGUAUUCGUUCCUGGGGUGAUCUUUAAAAUGGAGGGGAGACCAUAUGUUUACAUGUCCUCAGGGGUUGUUUAUCUUCCUGCUCCCCUGCUUAAAAGGAUGACCUGAGCCUUGACAAAGAGGUCAGGACUGAUGAAGCACAAACAUCUCAGAUCCUUUGGGUGACUGACAGGCAGGAUGCUGUGAAAAGAUCUCACAUUCUUGAGCUCAAACCUCUUGUAACAAAACAGGACCCAGAACUAAUUCCAACACAAAUAAAAUGGUUCUGUCCGUUAUCAUACUGUUCACUGUAUCUAUCUGUGUGGUUUUGCAAUGGGUAAGAUCUGCGGUCCUUCUAGCUCUGAUACCUGUGGGAAAGUCCUUUUUUUCUGAACUGCUUUGGUACAGCAGAGACUUCCUUGGCAUUUUCUCCUCAGUCAGGAGUUCUUUUAAACAAGGCCAUUUUUAAUCAGUCUUUGUUUCGGGUGGUAAUUCAAGACAAGGUCUGUAAUUAUCUGUGCAAAAUAGGUGGUGGUUGGUUAUAUGUGUAUUCUUAACUUUUGAGGGAUGAAAUGCCCUCCAGUACUAGGUGAAACACCCAAUUUGGCUUCUAUAGACUUUCAGCCUAGUGCAAAACCUUGCUUUUAUCUCCUGCUUUACAGAUAUAAAGACUACCUUGUUUCACUGUCUUUUCCUGGCCUGGAAAGAAAACAGGAGUUUCAAGUAAGUGCUGGGAAGACAGGACUGAGUGACUUCCAGAGUUUAUAUUUCCAAAAUAUGCACGUGCUGCUACUUUUUGCUUCCUUCGUCCAAACAACUUGCUGUGUGUAUUGAAACAGUCUCAUACCUUUCAGAAGCGGACUGGUCUGUGCCCCCACCCCCACCCCCACCAAUUCCACCUUUACAAACUGCAGGCUGUUGGGGCAACCCUUCUUCCACCCUGUUUUUUGCUUACCGUCUAGCUUGGUUAAGAGUUCUUAUGUGUGGCACAGUGGGGAAAUGCUUGACUAACAAGCAGAAAAUUGCCAGUUCAAAUCCCUGCUGGUACUAUACCAGGCAGCAGCAAUAUAGGAAGAUGCUGAAAGUUAUCAUCUCAUAUUGCGCGGGAGGAGGCAAUGGUAAACCCCUCCUGUAUUCUACCAAAGAAAACCACAGGGCUCUGUGGGUGCCAGGAGUCGAAAUCGACUUGACGGCACACUUUAGGACUAAAAAGCUCACUGUUUGAUACUUUAUGAGGCUCCUCACAUGAUAGGAUAAAAUAGGGCUAGUGGAGGCGAGUCCAAUUUUCUCCCAUCGUGAGAACCACCGGGAUCGGCUGUGAGUGCUCCACAAACCUGUUUUUUAAAAUCGUGUGUUGCUGUGGCUCGGCUCCGUGCCACAGCAACUCACAAGUAGACCACUGGCUGGGAGGCUUAAAAACAGCCUCCCGGCUCGGGGGUCUCUCCAGCAUGCCCUGCCUAACGGAGCUGGCAGUUGUGUGGGCGGCCACUUCGGCCGCCCAGAGCAGACUGCCUGCUGGUGUGCAGGGAGAGUGGGCUGGGCUAAGCCGCUCUCCCCGCUAACCCUCCCCAGGUGGCUCCCACUGAUCGUGGGAACCGCCUCUAUGAAUUUUUUGGUUGGUUCUAAUAAAAGCAUUAUUCUACUUUGGGUUGUGGAUUUUUCUUCCAUGGACCAACAUGGCUACUUUUGACUUCCAGUAGCUGAGCCUCAUUAAUUUCACUGAGAGGCUGUAUAACUAUGUUUUUAUCCAGCUUCUCAGUGAAAUUAAUGAAGCUCAGUUACUGAAAACACAUGCAUAAACAGGGCUUAAGAGGAAAAUUUGGAACUGCACAGUGAUAUGUGAUUGUAACCCACGCACAUAAUACGUGCUGCUAAAACACACCUGUGUAUUUUGGCUAUUAAAAGUGUGCACUCUGUUGAUGUUCAGAGACCCUUUUCUGAAUGCAAAUCUCAUAAGGUCUGGACACAAAUAGCUAAGGGAAAUAAGCUGCAGAAGCAUGACCUACUACAAUUUAGCUUCAGAUAUUCCCUCAUGGUGAUGAAAUUGUUUGUGGUAUCACAACUUUUGCAUGACUCCAAUUUUUGAACUACACAAACAUUCUUUUGAAAUUGUACACACACACACACACACACCUGCACAUUUUAUGUCUGAUCGUAUAUUUUUAAAAGCCCUGUUCAUUUAAACAGCUUUCUCAGUUUCAGUCACAGGAAUAUACUGAGUCAGACCAUUGUUCCCUCUUGCUCAGCAUUGUCUACACUGACUGGCAGCAGCUUUCCAAGGUUUCAGGCAGGAGUCUUUCCCAGCCAGGAUGCCAGGAAUUAAACCUGGGACCUUCUGCAUGCAAGCAGAAGCUCUGCCACUGAGCUAUAGCCUACCCCCUAAGGGGAGUAUCUUACAGCAGACAGUGUUCACAUGUAGUCACCCAUCCAAAUUAUGACCAAGGUGAACCCUGGUUAUCAAAGGCAACAAUUCAUGCUGCCUACCACAAGAUUAGAAGAAGCCCUUUCCCCCCAAUAUCUGUGGAUGUGACAACAUAAUUACAGAUUCUUAUAUAGGAUGCAGCAUGACACUGGUUUUGUUAAAAGAGAAUUGAACAAUAUGCUAGGAAGGAAAAAGCCAGAGAGCGGGCAGGGGACAUGCAACUCCUAUUGCUGUAUCUGUUGCUGAAUCACGAAUUGGAAAUUAAAACAAGGCUGCAUUUCUAAGCAUGCUUCCUUGAAAGUUAACACUAGCAAAACAAAUAGGAUUUAUCUUACAGAAUGUAGUUUAGGCUGGGAGCAUUAAUAUGAAACAUACCAUUAUUUCUUUUCCAGAAAUCUAACAUGUGGGGCCAAACUUGCCUGAAAUGCACUUUGCCCCUUCUGUGCCCUCUCAGUGGCUGACAUUCAACUCAAGUCAGCCCAGUCACAUUGCAUACACGCAAGUUGCACAAGUUACGCAAAUUCCAUUUGCACAAUUUGCCUAAAUUGUGCAUCUUUUAUACACGCAAUGUUACUGGGCUGAUGUAACCUUGAAUCAGAUGUCAGCCAAUCCCUGCCCCCCCCCCCAAGGUGCUACCAUUGGAAUUUUAAAAUGUGAUUUUAAAAAUUGACUUUUUAAAAAGUUAUAAAUUUUGUACUGUAUUUUGUAUUUUUGUGUGUGUGCUGUGAUCUGAUGUGUUUUAUGUGUUUUUAUUGGAUGCUUUAAUGCUGUGUUGUGAGCCAUCCAGAGAACAAUUUGUUAUGGGGAGGCUAACAAAUAACGUUUAUUAUUAUUAUUUACUAUCACUUAAUCAUUCAAAGCAGGCUCUAACGUGAGACAAUGUGAUGGCUGACUCAGGCCACAGAUUUCUGAGCACCGCCAAAAAGCAAUUAAUAGGGAAAUAUUUAAUGUAAACCAUCCGAGAGUCCUAUAGUGCGUAAAGAUGGCACACAAAUAAAUGUGGCACAUAAUUGACAUGAUUGGAAAGAUGGCACAUCAUUAAUUUACGAACAAAUUACUUUGUUGAAUCAGACUAAAUGCCCAUUGCUCUGUUCCCAGUAUCAACCAGUGAGGUUGCUGUGGGUGCUCAUA
Molecule: long non-coding RNA, 5020 nt
Organism: Hemicordylus capensis (graceful crag lizard)
Lineage: Eukaryota; Metazoa; Chordata; Lepidosauria; Squamata; Cordylidae
Exons: 3
Source: RefSeq, a predicted model, not a curated record